GUUGAAACACCGGUUCUCUUGCAAUCACAGAAGUUAAGCAACGUCGAGUCUGGUUCGUACUUAGAUGAGUGACUAAUUAGGAAUACCGGGUGCU
This is a non-coding RNA of Acanthosepion pharaonis, 94 nucleotides long. NCBI's taxonomy places the organism in Eukaryota, Metazoa, Mollusca, Cephalopoda, Sepiida, Sepiidae. The record is from the annotation of a GenBank genome assembly.